This 477-nucleotide ribosomal RNA is filed under the name uncultured bacterium. RNAcentral's name for it is "partial 16S ribosomal RNA". It matches the Rfam family "Bacterial small subunit ribosomal RNA", at positions 28 to 507 of the family's 1533-position model. The record is from RNAcentral.
GAUGAACGCUGGCGGCGUGCCUAACACAUGCAAGUCGAACGAAGCACCUUACCUGAUUCUUCGGAUGAAAGUUUGGUGACUGAGUGGCGGACGGGUGAGUAACGCGUGGGUAACCUGCCCUGUACAGGGGGAUAACAGCUGGAAACGGCUGCUAAUACCGCAUAAGCGCACGAGGAGACAUCUCCUUGUGUGAAAAACUCCGGUGGUACAGGAUGGGCCCGCGUCUGAUUAGCUGGCUGGCAGGGUAACGGCCUACCAAGGCAACGAUCAGUAGCCGGUCUGAGAGGAUGAACGGCCACAUUGGAACUGAGACACGGUCCAAACUCCUACGGGAGGCAGCAGUGGGGAAUAUUGCACAAUGGGGGAAACCCUGAUGCAGCAACGCCGCGUGAGUGAAGAAGUAUUUCGGUAUGUAAAGCUCUAUCAGCAGGGAAGAUAAUGACGGUACCUGACUAAGAAGCUCCGGCUAAAUACGUG